GAUGAACGCUGGCGGCGUGCCUAAUACAUGCAAGUCGAACGAAACUUCUUUAUCACCGAGUGCUUGCACUCACCGAUAAAGAGUUGAGUGGCGAACGGGUGAGUAACACGUGGGCAACCUGCCCAAAAGAGGGGGAUAACACUUGGAAACAGGUGCUAAUACCGCAUAACCAUAGUUACCGCAUGGUAACUAUGUAAAAGGUGGCUAUACUACCGCUUUUGGAUGGGCCCGCGGCGCAUUAGCUAGUUGGUAGGGUAAAGGCUCACCAAGGCAAUGAUGCGUUACCUAAAUGCGAGGUUUGAUCGCCACAAUUGGACUAUCAAACCGGCCAAGCUCCUACGGGAGGCAGCAGUAGGGAAUCUUCCACAAUGGGCGAAAGCCUGAUGGAGCAACGCCGCGUGGGUGAAGAAGGUCUUCGGAUCGUAAAACCCUGUUGUUAGAGAAGAAAGUGCGUGAGAGUAACUGUUCACGUUUCGACGGUAUCUAACCAGAAAGCCACGGCUAACUACGUG
This 512-nucleotide ribosomal RNA is filed under the name uncultured bacterium. RNAcentral describes it as "partial 16S ribosomal RNA". It matches the Rfam family "Bacterial small subunit ribosomal RNA", at positions 28 to 507 of the family's 1533-position model. The record is from RNAcentral.